This 317-nucleotide ribosomal RNA is filed under the name Latilactobacillus sakei. RNAcentral's name for it is "bacterial SSU rRNA". It matches the Rfam family "Bacterial small subunit ribosomal RNA", at positions 32 to 312 of the family's 1533-position model. The record is from RNAcentral. Lineage: Bacteria; Bacillati; Bacillota; Bacilli; Lactobacillales; Lactobacillaceae.
CCAACGCUGGCGGCGUGCCUAAUACAUGCAAGUCGAACGCACUCUCGUUUAGAUUGAAGGAGCUUGCUCCUGAUUGAUAAACAUUUGAGUGAGUGGCGGACGGGUGAGUAACACGUGGGUAACCUGCCCUAAAGUGGGGGAUAACAUUUGGAAACAGAUGCUAAUACCGCAUAAAACCUAACACCGCAUGGUGUAGGGUUGAAAGAUGGUUUCGGCUAUCACUUUAGGAUGGACCCGCGGUGCAUUAGUUAGUUGGUGAGGUAAAGGCUCACCAAGACCGUGAUGCAUAGCCGAUCCUGAGAGGGUAAUCGGCCACA